RNAcentral lists this small RNA (1896 nucleotides) under Caenorhabditis elegans. Its description in RNAcentral is "Unclassified non-coding RNA Y113G7B.31". Lineage: Eukaryota; Metazoa; Nematoda; Chromadorea; Rhabditida; Rhabditidae. The record is from RNAcentral.
ACAAAAGGAGCCCCACCAGGCCGUGAUUGGACCGAACAGGAGACGUGUUUGCUGUUGGAAGCAUUGGAAAUGUUUAAGGAUGACUGGAAUAAGGUAGAAUAUCCCCCGGAAUAAUAUGGCUAUUCAGUAAAUUUGGAGCUUCUGAGCAAAAGCUUCCACGUGGAAAAAUGCUUCGGUUUUUGGAGCCAAAACUGAAUUUCAAAGUGUCAAGAUUGUAUAAAAUGGAGCAAAUUGUCACUUGGAACUCUGCUGAUUUCACUGAAAAAUCGUCAAAUUUAACACUUUUUUUUAAAUCAAAAAUGCAUUGCAACUUUUUCCUCACGAGGGACGAGGAAAAGUGGUUUCUAGGCCAUGGCCGAGGGGCCGACAAGUUUCAGCGGCCAUUUAUCUUGCUUUGUUUUCCGCCUGUUUUCUUUCGUUUUUCACUGACUUUUUUCGUUUUUUCUUAUUAAAACUGAUAAAUAAAUAUUUUUUGCAGAUUUUAAAACAAUUUCCAAGUAAAAAAAUUAUGUAUUCAGUGGGCAAGCAGCGGUGAAAGUGGGCAAUGCAAUAUGAUGGAUUACGGGAAUACAAAACCCAAACUUUUUCUGAAACAUGAUACAUAUGCUGCUUAAAUGCUGAAGCUACCUGAUUUUCAUAACGAGACCGCUGAAAAAGUUUUGAGAUUUUCAAAAUUCAACUUUUUUGGUGAAAAAGUCGAGAUUUUCGCACAAAAAGUUGAAUUGUGGAAACCUCAAAACUUUUUCAGCGGUCUCGUUAUGAAAAUCAGGUAAUUUCAGCAUUUAAGCAGCAUGUGUAUCAUGUUUCAGAAAAAGUUCAGGUUUUGUAUUCCCGUAAUCCAUCAUAUUACAAUGCUCACUUUCACCGCUGCUUGCCGACUGAAUACAUAAUUUUUUUACUUGGAAAUUGUUUUAGCAUCUGCAAAAAAUAUUUAUUUAUCAGUUUUAUUAAGAAAAAACGAAAAAAUCGAUGAAAAACGAAAGAAAACAGGCGGAAAACAAAGCAAGAUAAAUGGCCGCUGAAACUUGUCGGCUCCUCGGCCAUGGCCUAGAAACCACUUUUCCUCGUCCCUCGUGAGGAAAAAGUUGCAGUGUCGAAAUCCGAUCGUUGCCUUUUCCCUUUUUUCAGCUCAAAAAUUCUGUAAAAUUUAUAUUUUUCCAGCUUUUUGUUCAAUUUUCAUCGAAAAUCGUCAAAUUUACCAUUUUUCAAUCAAUUUUUACUGAAAAAUCCAAAAAAAUUGCUCAUUUUAAAACAAUUUUCAGCCACAAAAAAUUCGAUUUUUCAACUCAAAAAACCCCGAAAAAUCCAUAUUUUUCCAGCUUUUUGUUCAAUUUUCAUAAAAAUAUUUUUAAAAAAUUAAAAAAAAUCAAAGCUGUUUUUUUCUGUAAAAAUUGCUCAUUUUAAAACAACAAUUUUCAGCCAAAAAAUCCGAUUUUUCAACUCAAAAAACCCCGAAAAAUCCAUAUUUUUUCAGGUUUGCGACCACGUCGGCACUCGAACUCAACACGAAUGUGUUCUAAAAUUCCUUCAACUCCCAAUUCAAGACCCAUAUCUAACUGAAAAUCUGUCGUCGGAUAAAGCUGAAGCAGCUCCCGGCGGAGCAGCCAAAGAAGUACUCGGACCACUUGCAUUCCAGCCUGUUCCAUUUUCUCAAUCUGGAAAUCCAGUAAUGUCAACUGUGGCUUUUCUGGCAUCAGUUGUGGAUCCACAAGUGGCCGCUGCAGCUACAAAAGCUGCAAUGGAAGAAUUUGGAAAAUUGAAAGAAGAAAUUCCGCCGCUUGUAGCUGAAGCUCAUGAGAAAAAUGUUGCGGCAAUGGCCGAAAAGACUGGGCAAGUUGAUGGAGCUGUUGGGCUUACGAAAAGUGGCCUAAAGCCUGCUGAAGAGGCCGCCGGAGG